AGUGUUUUUGAGUAGCGGGAGGGAAUAGCUAUUCUCUCCCGCUGCAACGGGAGGGAAUGAUUCCCUCCCGCACGCUUGAAAUGAGCAGCUUGCCAUUCACUUUAGAGGCAUGGAAACGGGUCUUUUUCAUGCACAGAUCGGAAGACGUCG
This is a long non-coding RNA of Nasonia vitripennis (jewel wasp), 150 nucleotides long. RefSeq lists it as uncharacterized. The transcript is spliced from 3 exons. NCBI's taxonomy places the organism in Eukaryota, Metazoa, Arthropoda, Insecta, Hymenoptera, Pteromalidae. The record is from RefSeq and is a predicted model, not a curated record.